RNAcentral lists this ribosomal RNA (409 nucleotides) under bacterium. Its description in RNAcentral is "partial 16S ribosomal RNA". It matches the Rfam family "Bacterial small subunit ribosomal RNA", at positions 355 to 776 of the family's 1533-position model. The record is from RNAcentral.
UGGGGAAUAUUGCACAAUGGGGGAAACCCUGAUGCAGCAACGCCGCGUGCGGGAUGACGGCCUUCGGGUUGUAAACCGCUUUCAGCCAUGACGAAGCUUUUGUGACGGCUGUGGUAGAAGAAGCACCGGCUAAUUACGUGCCAGCCGCCGCGGUGAUACGACGGCUGCGACCGUUGUCCGGAAUUAUUGGGCGUAAAGAGCUUGUAGGCGGUUUGUCGCGUCGAAAGUGUAAACUCCGUGCUUAACGCUGGGCCUGCUUUCGAUACGGGCUUGCUAGAGGAAGGUAGGGGAGAAUGGAAUUCCCGGUGGAGCGGUGGAAUGCGCAGAUAUCGGGAGGAACACCAGUGGCGAAGGCGGUUCUCUGGACCUUUCCUGACGCUGAGAAGCGAAAGCGUGGGUAGCAAACAGG